RNAcentral lists this transfer RNA (75 nucleotides) under Taklimakanibacter albus. RNAcentral's name for it is "tRNA-Asp". It matches the Rfam family "tRNA". Rfam says of the family: Transfer RNA (tRNA) molecules are approximately 80 nucleotides in length. Their secondary structure includes four short double-helical elements and three loops (D, anti-codon, and T loops). The record is from RNAcentral. Lineage: Bacteria; Pseudomonadati; Pseudomonadota; Alphaproteobacteria; Hyphomicrobiales; Aestuariivirgaceae.
GGUCCUUUAGCUCAGGGGUAGAGCAGCGCACUGUCGAUGCGUUGGUCGCGGGUUCGAGUCCCGCAAGGAUCGCCA